Molecule: long non-coding RNA, 582 nt
Organism: Peromyscus eremicus (cactus mouse)
Lineage: Eukaryota; Metazoa; Chordata; Mammalia; Rodentia; Cricetidae
Exons: 3
Source: RefSeq, a predicted model, not a curated record
AUGGCUACAGCUUGUUAUAUUUGGGGUAGAAGUCCACGGUGAAACCACUGACCAAGAAUUUGAAAAGGAAGACUCACACUCACCCUCCCUGGGAUUUUUAUUUGCUAUUUUAUGGUGUCUGGGGGAGGAUAGAAGAUGUACCUGAUACUGACAACAGAGAUCACAGCAAAGAAGAUUGGACUUUUCGCUGAAGGAGUUAAAAUAGGCAUGUAGGAGUUAAUUAUUUUGAAGAGAAUAAAGAUGAUUUGUACACCCUCACCUCAUCCACAGAACAAGAUGUCUGCAUCGCGGCAAUGGUGGCAAAACUGUUGGGAGGCAACCAACCACAUUCUGGAUUUGGGGUCCACUUCAAAGAAGGAGUCCAUCGCUGGGAUCAGAAACUCAAUAAAAAUACUCAUGAUUGAAGAACUCCUAUGCCUUGGACAGAGGUCAGAAGUAUUUACCGUUGCUUAACUAAGUUGGCAGGUUGUCAAACUGCCUUCUUAGUAUUUAUUUUUAAAUUAAUAGAAUAAUUAUACUCUCAGCUUUAAUCAGAGAAGUUUUUCUUUCCAAUGAAUAUUGGAAUACACAGACUCUAAACUA